Long non-coding RNA from Amphiprion ocellaris (clown anemonefish), 850 nucleotides. RefSeq lists it as uncharacterized. NCBI's taxonomy places the organism in Eukaryota, Metazoa, Chordata, Actinopteri, Pomacentridae. The record is from RefSeq and is a predicted model, not a curated record. The transcript has 4 exons.
AGGUCUGUGUCUUCCUGCUUGCUGCAUCUCAUUAAGGGCCUGAGGUGUGGAGGGACCAAUGAUAAUUAUGAAAAGUGAUUUGUGCCCACUCAUGCAACUCCUGGAGAUAACAGCACAGUGCCACCCCACAACUGAAUUCACCAUCAGCAUUAGCUGCAGUCGCUGUUUGGGCAACGACUCAUCUGAUGGUCCCUCUCGAUCUCCCCACACAUCCACCAACCACUGGAACACAUCUCCAAAGUUCUGCCGGGCCAGCUCAGCUUCCCCUCAGAAGAAGUCCCGCCACCUGCCAGAUGAAGGAGCCUUUUGAGAGGCAGCUGGCAUCAUGAUUGGACUGUACUUUGGUCUGUUCCAAUCCAGCUUCAGCUCCAGAGACGGCAGGCGGGACGAGUCAACGGAGGCCUGGUGGACGAAGGCAUGCAGCUGAGUACAAUCCAGAAAACAACAGAGGAGGAGUGCAGCAGUCCAGGGCCAGAACAACCAGAGUAUGUCUCUUAGAAAACAUCAUAGUAUAGCCUUUGGUAUGAAAAAACGCCAUCAUAUACAUCGUAUAUUGUACAUAUAACAAGUCAGAGGAAAGAGACAUACAUUGUAGAAUUGUAGUAAUUGUGGGCUGACUGAUUUACUGAUUAUCAGUAUUUUAUUUUUUACUGAUUUACGGUAAUAAAUACAUUUAAAAAUGGCGCUACUUUGGCUCUGAACCUUUAUCUACCUGUGGUUGCUCUGUCUUCUGGAGUGAUUUGAUUGGUUAUACGUAACGAAUAAAACUCCUUUAACUUAACAUCUGUAAACAAAACAAAAACGUAACAACAAAGUUUUCUGUUAGAGUUUGUGUUCUUCUAAGUUUAAC